RNAcentral lists this ribosomal RNA (505 nucleotides) under uncultured bacterium. RNAcentral describes it as "partial 16S ribosomal RNA". It matches the Rfam family "Bacterial small subunit ribosomal RNA", at positions 29 to 523 of the family's 1533-position model. The record is from RNAcentral.
AGUGAACGCUGGCGGUAGGCCUAACACAUGCAAGUCGAACGGCAGCACAGGAGAGCUUGCUCUCUGGGUGGCGAGUGGCGGACGGGUGAGGAAUACAUCGGAAUCUACUUUUUCGUGGGGGAUAACGUAGGGAAACUUACGCUAAUACCGCAUACGACCUACGGGUGAAAGCAGGGGACCUUCGGGCCUUGCGCGAUUGAAUGAGUCGAUGUCGGAUUAGCUAGUUGGCGGGGUAAAGGCCCACCAAGGCGACGAUCCGUAGCUGGUCUGAGGGGAUGAUCAGCCACACUGGAACGAGGACACGGUCCAGACUCCUACGGGAGGCAGCAGUGGGGAAUAUUGGACAAUGGGCGCAAGCCUGAUCCAGCCAUACCGCGUGGGUGAAGAAGGCCUUCGGGUUGUAAAGCCCUUUUGUUGGGAAAGAAAUCCAGCUGCUAAUACCCGGUUGGGAUGACGGUACCCAAAGAAUAAGCACCGGCUAACUUCGUGCCAGCCGCCGCGGUAA